ACGGAAGGCAGCAGUGGGGAAUAUUGGGCAAUGGGCGAAAGCCUGACCCAGCAAUGCCGCGUGAAGGAAGAAGGUCUUCGGACUGUAAACUUCUUUUAUGAGGGACGAAGGAUUUGACGGUACCUCAUGAAUAAGCCACGGCUAACUACGUGCCAGCAGCCGCGGUAAUACGUAGGUGGCAAGCGUUAUCCGGAUUUACUGGGUGUAAAGGGCGCGUAGGCGGGGAAGCAAGUCAGAUGUGAAAUCUAUGGGCUUAACUCAUAAACUGCAUUUGAAACUGUUUCUCUUGAGUGCUGGAGAGGUAGAUGGAAUUCCUAGUGUAGCGGUGAAAUGCGUAGAUAUUAGGAAGAACACCAGUGGCGAAGGCGAUCUACUGGACAGUAACUGACGCUGAGGCGCGAAAGCGUGGGGAGCAAACAGGAUUAGAUACCCUGGUA
This 437-nucleotide ribosomal RNA is filed under the name uncultured Oscillospiraceae bacterium. RNAcentral's name for it is "partial 16S ribosomal RNA". It matches the Rfam family "Bacterial small subunit ribosomal RNA", at positions 341 to 792 of the family's 1533-position model. The record is from RNAcentral. Lineage: Bacteria; Bacillati; Bacillota; Clostridia; Eubacteriales; Oscillospiraceae.